UACGUAGGGGGCAAGCGUUGUCCGGAAUCAUUGGGCGUAAAGAGCGCGUAGGCGGUCCGGUAAGUCUGCCGUGAAAGCCAGGGGCUCAACCCUUGGAUGCCGGUGGAUACUGUCGGGCUAGAGUCCGGAAGAGGCGAGUGGAAUUCCUGGUGUAGCGGUGAAAUGCGUAGAUAUUGGGAGGAACACCAGUGGCGAAGGCGGCUCACUGGACCGGAACUGACGCUGAGGCGCGAAAGCGUGGGGAGCAAACGGGAUUAGAUACCCGGGUAGU
This 271-nucleotide ribosomal RNA is filed under the name uncultured bacterium. RNAcentral describes it as "partial 16S ribosomal RNA". It matches the Rfam family "Bacterial small subunit ribosomal RNA", at positions 524 to 794 of the family's 1533-position model. The record is from RNAcentral.